GGGGCUGGUAUUGUGGAUGGUAAUGGGGCUGGUAUUGUGGAUGGUAUUGGGGCUAUAUUGUGGAUGGUAUUGGGGCUGGUAUUGGGGCUGGUAUUGGGCCUGGUUUUCUGGAUUGUAUUGGGGCUGGUAUUGGGGCUGGUAUUGGGGCUGGUAUUGUGGAUUGUAUUUGGGCUGGUAUUGUGAAUUGUAUUGGGGCUGGUAUUGGGGCUGGUAUUUGAGCUGGUAUUGGGGCUGGUAUUGUGGAUUGUAUUGGGGCUGGUAUUGUGAAUUGUAUUGGGGCUGGUAUUGGGGCUGGUAUUGGGGCUGGUAUUGGGGCUGGUAUUUGAGCUGGUAUUGGGGCUGGUUUGUGGAUUGUUUUGGGGCUGGUAUUGUGGAUUGUUUUGGGGCUGGUAUUGGGGCUGGUAUUGUGGAUUGUAUUGGGGCUGGUAUUGUGGAUUGUAUUGGGGCUGGUAUUUGAGCUGGUAUUGGGGCUGGUAUUGUGGAUUGUAUUGGGGCUGGUAUUGUGGAUUGUAUUGGGGCUGGUAUUUGAGCUGGUAUUGGGGCUGGUAUUGUGGAUUGUAUUGGGGCUGGCAUCGGGGCUGGUAUUUUUUAUUUUAUUUAUGUAUUAUUAUUUUUUUGCCCUUUUUCUCCCCAAUUACAUGAUGUCCAAUAGGUUGUUACAGUGUUGUCCCAUCGUUUCAACUCCAGUACAGACUCGGGAGAGCCAAAGGUUGAGAGCUGUGUGUUCUCUGAAUCACAAC
This is a long non-coding RNA of Oncorhynchus tshawytscha (Chinook salmon), 740 nucleotides long. The record is from Ensembl. Lineage: Eukaryota; Metazoa; Chordata; Actinopteri; Salmoniformes; Salmonidae.